Molecule: ribosomal RNA, 392 nt
Filed under: uncultured eukaryote
Lineage: Eukaryota
Description: SSU rRNA
Rfam family: Eukaryotic small subunit ribosomal RNA
Source: RNAcentral
AGCUCCAAUAGCGUAUGUAAAAGUUGUUGCAGUUAAAAAGCUCGUAGUCGGAUGUCGGGGCGUGGCGAGCCCGGUCUGCCGGAUUCGGUGUGUACUGGCUCGCCUGCUCUUCCUUCCGGUUUGCCGGCGGCUUCCCUUAACUGGGCGGCCGUCUUCGGCUCCGGAUCGUUUACUUUGAAAAAAUUAGAGUGUUUAAAGCAGACUUUACGUCGUCUUGAAUACAUUAGCAUGGGAUAAUGGAAUAGGCUCUUGCGCCUAUUUUGUUGGUUUCUGGGAGCGAGAGAAUGAUCAAUGGGAAUCGUCGGGGGUAUUCAUAUUUAAUUGUCAGAGGUGAAAUUCUUGGAUUUAUGAAAGAUGAACAUCUGCGAAAGCAUCUAUCAAGGAGAUUUCCA